This is a non-coding RNA of Otolemur garnettii (small-eared galago), 297 nucleotides long. The record is from Rfam. Lineage: Eukaryota; Metazoa; Chordata; Mammalia; Primates; Galagidae.
GCUGGACGCAGUGGCACGCACCUGUAUUCCCAGCUACUCUGGAGGCUGAGACCAGAGGUUCACUUGAGUCCAGAAGUUCUGCUGUAGUGUGCUAUGCUGAUCAGGUGUCUGCACUAAGUUUGGUAUCAAUAUGGUGACCUCCCUGGAGUAGGGGGCCACCAGGUUGCCUAAGUAGGGGUGAACCAGCCCAAGUCAGAAAUGGAGCAGAUCAAAACUCCCAUACUGAUCAGCAGUGGAAUCAUGCCUGUGAAUAGCCACUGCACUCCAGCCUGGGCAACACGGCAAGACCCAUCUCUA